CUUUCUCUCUCUCUGUCUCUCUCUUUAAAUGAGCAGCAAUGACAGCAAGUAACAAGGUAUCACGUCAUUUUACAAGCAGUUUGAAUUUGGAGGUUAGAUUUUGGUAGAUUUGGUUUGCUGUAAAUCAGGCCCACAAGCCAUUAUAGGUCCACAAUGUUUUGUGAUGAUGGUGUGGCAGACCUUGAUGAACUAUGAUAGAAUAUACUCAUAAGUUGUCAUCCAUAGGCAAAGAAAGUUUAGUAUUGCUGAAUUAAUAGGCAAUUGCAUUCCAGAAUGUCUUGAGCUUAAUUAUGUAGGGAAAAAAAAAAUUAAUUGUUUACAGGGGCUUAGUAGUCCUUACCUAUGUUGUAUGCCUCAGGCUAGGGUAAUCUUGGUUUUUAUUUUCAACGUUAAAACCCUAGGCUAGGAUGAAAUGUUGUAUAGCCUUACAAUAGUAUCUUGGAUGAUGAUGAGAUUUUCUUUUGCCUUAAAAAGAUAAGGUAAUUGUAUUGGGUUGAAAUGCAUUGAUAUUAAUGUGAACAAAUAUAUGAAGAUAACUGCAUAGUGCUUAGGCUAUGACAAAAAGACUGCUAAGCUACUGAGUUUUUUGUGAACACAUAAUUCUUGCACUGUUAUGUUGUGUAGCUCCCAUAAAUUCUUGGAAGACAAGCUUUAGAAACAUGUAUGUUUUUAUGUGCUAUUAUUUUGUAGGAGUAACUCAUUUAUUACCAACUUAUUAGUAGUUAUUUUUAUCAAUCUUGUAGCACU
RNAcentral lists this unclassified non-coding RNA (747 nucleotides) under Hevea brasiliensis (rubber tree). The record is from RNAcentral. Lineage: Eukaryota; Viridiplantae; Streptophyta; Magnoliopsida; Malpighiales; Euphorbiaceae.